AUCUAGCUGACGUGUUCCACAUAAGACAAAACGCGCGUCCUGGAU
Molecule: non-coding RNA, 45 nt
Organism: Schistosoma mattheei
Lineage: Eukaryota; Metazoa; Platyhelminthes; Trematoda; Strigeidida; Schistosomatidae
Source: Rfam